GGGGGGGGGGAAAUAGACCGAAAUAAAGCUAGAAGGGCCCUGAGGUAGCCAGGGACUGGAAAUGGCUGAGGGCAGGUUCCUCUAGAGCUCUGCCUAGGAAUUCAGCCACCCCAAAGCCCCUUCCCUAACCUGCCUGGGCCUCGGUUUCCCAUUUGACUAUCAAAGGGCUGAGGUGAAAGUCAGGAUACCUGAGGCUAGAUCCUAAAGAGGGCCUCUGUGGCUGUGGGGACUAGGCUCCAGUCCUGUGCAAUCUUUCUGACCAAGCUGGGCCUCAGUCUACCCAUCUGUCAGGAGGGUGUACACUCUGCCAUGGUUGGGGCCUGCUGUAGGCAGCCCUUCCCCUCCAGCAUGGGCCCCACUUGCUCCCCAUCUUUCCGGACCACUGCUCCCCUCAGCUGCUCCUGGUGUUCCCAGGCAAGAAAGGAGAGAUUCUGCUAAAGGCUUUCCCACCCUUCCACAUAGCUGGCAUUCCAUCCAGGCUUCCUGGGACCCCACCCUGGAGAGAAAGAAGGCAGUCUGGGAGAAAGCAGGCGGUGAGCAGGAGGCCUGGGUAGGCUGGGGCUGCUGGAGAUGGGAAAGCCACAGCCUCAGAGUGGCACAUCCAGGCAUGGGCACAGGGGUCCAGGGGGGCUGAUGGAUUCACGGAGCCCUUACAGGGGUCAUUUUAAUUCCAAUGGCCUGCAACUUCAGACAUUUCAGGACCUCUCCUGGCACACAAGGCCCACAGUAACCUAAUGGAUCAAGUCUUUGCCCUGGGAAGGGCACCCUGCCCCUCUGACCGUCAAACAGGGCUUCAUAUCCAGCUCACUGCCCCCACCUCCAGGAAGCCUGCCUGACCCUGCUUCAUUCUCACUGCUGGCAGGGCCAAUGUGUGCCAAGCCUGGCACAGGGGCUGAAGUGGCUUCUCUCUGUCCUUACCCCUGGCUUUUCUCUUUGCUUCCCACAGUACAGGUGGAGAUCGCCACAUCCAGAGAUGCCAGGGCCCCUGAGGCUGUGAGGCUGGCUGAAGCUCAGCUGGAGCUGAGACCCCCCAUCAGCCCAGCACGGCACUUACUACACAACCUAUGUGAUAUGGGGUGCCCUGAAGGCAUGGCUGGCCAAGACGCCAACCUGAGACCCAGCAACAGAUGGACAGGUGGGUGUAAAAGGUGGGAGGGAGCUGGCAGGGCCCCACUGGCCUACUGCCAAUUUGGGAGUCUAAACACUGGAUGGCUGAGCCAGCACUUCCUGGGACACUCUGAGCAUAUUCUGAGUUUUAAGUUUGGGGACCAAGUCCCACACACAGAGGAUAGCGAGUCACCAUCUGUCUACAGACCUCAAGGCAGAGCUGAGCUAGUGUAAGGUGGGAGACAGAGCCUAGAGAGGACAGGGCCCGCAAGCCACACAGCACCCGGGGCAGUGUGAGCCUCAGCCAGGGACCAGACCCAUCCCUGCUAUCUGCUGUCAUCACAGCUGGGGACCUGUCUGAGUCAGAAGCCCCCUGGCCACUGCUCCCUGGUCCCUCACCUUAUGGCUUUCUCCAUGACCUGAAUGGCCUCCCCAGCCAAUUGCCUCCAAAAUCGAACGCCCUGGGAAAGGAGCCACUCAAUCCUAGUGGCCAGCCUGGCUAGGAGUUCAUUAUUCCCAUUUUCCAGAGGAGGCUCAAAAAAGGGCAGUCUUUUGUCCAAGGCUGAAGAGCAGCUUGGCACAGAUAAAGCCAAGUCGUUGCCUCUGCCUCCUUGAUACCCUCCCUCUGAAACUAUGGCGAACCCGUUACUUCCGGCUACGGGAAUCCCCACCUUGACAGUCACAGGGGAAGAUGGGGCUCAGUUCUGGGCUUGUAGACCUGCCUGUACACCCCACCCCUGCGCUGCUCUGUGAGGGGUCCAGAAAGAAACACAGACCUGCAAGCUGCCAAAGGGUAACACCGGCCUCUCAACCUAUGCUGCUUCAUAGGCGGCAGGGCUAUCAAUCACACAAAAGGAGGACUUCCCUCGGGCGGACUCAUUACCACGGACUCUACUGCAAAGACACUAGGAAGCAGCACAGAACCUCAGGCAGGGCCAGGAGCCCCCCACCACAGGUUCCACAGCCUGAAGGGAAGCUGUCCAGCCCUAAGACCGCCCGCUCCCGCUGCAGGAGGAUAGGAUAAAAGUCUAAGCACUUUUCUCCCUGGCCAUCUUGAAGGCUGUGUCCCUGAGGUCCCUCGCGCCACGAAUCUCUGUCCCAGAACUCUGGCAAGGUAAAGAGAAGCUAGAACUGUCAGGCCCUGGCUAAUGCUCUCUCCACACCACCUUACCACACCACCAACUCCAGGCUCUCCCACUUCAGUCUUAGGCCAUGAUGUAUCUCAGCCCAGCCCAUCAGAAGGUCACUCUGGGAGGCUGGCGUGCUUAAUCUGGUGUUCUACCCUGUGGCAGGGCCACCGAAGGGAAUACCAGCCCUGUUUGGUCCACAGGAAGGCCACACCAGCACUUUGGCCCACAGCAGCAUAUAUGGUGGCUUAAAUUCAUCCCUCCCCUACCAGCCAACCCAGUCUAUAGGGACACAGCAUGUCCCGGGAAAACAGAGAUGAUGGAGAUACCAUGAGGCAAGGUGGCAAGUCUGUUUCCGGGGAGGGGGGGGUGGUCAGCAGCACUUGGAAAGUCCCCGCACUCCCUGCCAGAGGUGAAGUCACCCCCAGAAGACCGGAGUCCCCUCCCGGAAGGUGUUCAGCCAGCCCUCAGUUCCUGCUUCAACCUGUGUCCCCCAGGCUGGUAGGGAUGACUUCUGAUGCCUCUCAGGUCACCCUACACUGGAAGUCUUUCCUGGUUCACCCCUACUGCAGGUAGUCAGGGCCCCUGCUGUAGGGCUCUGUGUGAACUCAGAGGAAGGUGGACUGGAGGGCUGAGAUAAAUUAAGGGGGUGUGAAAAGUCAACUGAAUGGGCGGGGCUAGCUAGAGGGCGGCUCUAGAACCUCCCUCAGACGGGAAACCAAGAUCUAGAGAAGCCAAGGGUACCCCAAAACCAGGCCCAGCCACAUCUGAGAGCGUAUCAUCAAGCACAUACUGAACCGACACACAGGUCCCAGGCUGGCUUGCUGGACCUACUUUUCUUCCUGUUAAAGCUGGCCUCAGAUUUGCUGGAGCAGAGCCAAGACAAGCAGGGACAUCUCCACAUCCCCCAGGAGCAUCGCAUCUCUGUCCCCAGGACUCAAGCAAAAGCUAGCCCCCCAAGUUGUUGAGGGGGGGCUUUGCUCCGGGACCAAGGACUCCUGGUCCCCAAAUCUUGCAACCAACUGCUCUAGUUGGAUUCUUCACCCUAUAUAAAAUCCAUUACUUAUAAAAUGUAAUGAAUGUGAGAGGCAACAGUGUUGGUCAGAUGCUAGAGGCAGCAUGGACCUCAGAGUCAUACAAACCUGGGUUCAAAUCCAGCCUCAGAUGCCCGGACCUGAGACACACCUGGCCCUGAUCACCCGCCCCACCCUCACAUUCCAAUGCCGGAGGUGGCUUGGUUUAGCCCUGUGCCAGCAGCCAGGGAGCACCGAGACGCAAGAGCAGACUCCAGACAGGCUGUGCAUGCCAGGCCCACAGGACAGGUCCUUCUGGAAAUGUGAACCCUGGGGCUUGGGUUCCCAGUCUGGAGUCCACAAGACAGCUGGUCCAUUCUCAUUCUGAAGACUAUUGUUUGAGACAGGCCUCGGUAUGAAACCCAGGCUGGCUUUAAACUCAUGAUCCUCCUGCCUCAGCCUUGUGUGCCAGGAUAACAGGUGUGCAACCCCAAAAGGACUUUUAAAAUCUGGUUUACCCCCAAUGGCCUGCUACUGGGAGGGAUCUGGAGUCCCACCUGUCCUCCCCCUUCCAGGGACCAGGCCACAUGUAGCAGCUUCACCUGGGUUUGCUGGCGGCCUUCUGAGCACAGAGAGAUCAGGAAGCCCAAUGGAAGAGGGUUCUGGACGGUGAUGGAGGCCCUCAAGUAUCAUCUGAUAGGACUCCCAGGGAUUCUGGCUUUUCUUCCACCUAUGUGCUAUGUGCAUGCCUGGGUGAUCACCGUGGUUCCCAGCCCCGCUCCAGCCCUUGGAAGGCUUCACAACCUAUAGCUGUAGUACUGGCUAGUUUUUAUAUCGACUUGAUACAGGCUAGGGUCAUCCAAGAAAAGGAAAUCUUUACUGAGAAAUGCCUCCAUACAACUGACCUGUAGGCAAGUCUGUGAGGUAGUACCUUGAUUAAGGAUUGAUAAGGGAGAGUCUAUCCCACAGGGAGUGGUCUUAGGUAUUGUAAGAAAGCAGGCUGAGCAAGCCACGAGGAGCAAGUCAGUAAGCAGUACUCUUCCACGGCUUCUGCUUCAGUUCCUGAGGACGGUUCUUGCCUCAAUGGUUUUCCUCAAUAGAUGGAUCUGGGAUAUGUAAGCCAAAUAAACCCUUUCCUCCCCAAGUUGCUUUUGGUGAUGGUGUUUAUCACAGCCACAUCAAACCUAAGAUAGCUACCAUGGCCACGCAGGGGCCACGGCACUCCGGCAUCUCCUACUCCCAGUCUCAAGCAUGGUUGCAGCAUAUCUGCACUGGCGCGGUCAUUUAGCCACACACCUAACUGCUUACACUGUGGGCCCAGAGCACUGGAUUCCCUGGUAUCAUGCUUACACCUACUUGGAUGCCUCCAGGACCAGGAAGCUGUCUCCCAGACAGCACCAAGGCUGGCCCAAGCCUGGGGAUCCAUACUCAAGGGCAAGGUGACUCUAGGUGGGUAGGGGGCUGGGGGGAGGGGCAGACUGAGCUAGAAGACAAGGAAAGAGAGGGAGCCUGGAGUGCACCUGUACCCACCCCCACCCAUCGGCCAGCCUGAGGGGAGGCCCCCAGCCCCACACCAAGGAGAGAGGACAAACGGCCGUUUUGUCCUUGGCCAGCGGGCGGCCUGUACUACACAAUGACCCUUUCAUCAGGCUGAGGGAGCCCUGGGCCGGGGUUUCAUCUGACAAGGGAGGGCGCCAGCCUCUUGUCCCCUUGGGAGGGGAGCUGAGCCCUAUCCCAGCCGGACUCAGGACUGUGCAAAAUGGAGGCCUCCAGGGAGCCUGCUGAAGCUGUCCCACCUGCCUGGGAGAUGGAGAGGGCUUUUAGGACUGUGGUCAGCACCACCAGCAAAGCCACAACAGGAGCCAGGAAGAGGCCUGACGGGGCCUGGGGAGGACAGUGGUGAGCACCCUCUGCACCCCCAAGCCAGGUGGUCGUUUCUAUUAUUGGGAUAAAACACCAUAACCAAAAGCAACUUGAGGAGCAAAGGAUUUAUUUCAGCUUAGAGUUCCACAUCACAGUUCAUCAUCAAAGGAAGUCGGGGCAGGAACCUGGAUUCAGGAACUGAAGCAGAAGCAGAAACAGAAGCCCUGGAAGAAGGAUGCUUACUGGUUCGCUUCCCAAGGCUUGCUCAUCCUGACUUCUUAUAACAACCAGGAUCACCAGCCCAGGGAUGGCACAGCUCACAGUGAUCUGGGUUAACAUUAGUCAUCAGCCAAGAAAACACCCCAUAGGCCAAUCUGGUGGGGGUGUUUUCUCAAUUGAAUUUCCCUUUUCUCAAAUGUCUCUAGCUUGUGUCAAGCUGACAUAAAACUAGCUAGCAUAGAUGAGUAGGGAAUGGAUGGAUGGAUAGAUGGAUGGACGGGUAGGUGGGUAGAUGGAUGCAUGUAAGGGUACAUGCAUAGAUGGAUGAAAUAAUACAUGGGUGGAUAGGUAGGUGAGACAUAGAUGGAUGUGUGCAUGCAAGGAUGAAUGAAUGGGUAGAUAGGUGGGUAGAUGGGUACAUGAAUGUGGUGAUUGAGAAAUUAUGGGCAGGUGGGUGAUUGGAUGGAUGGUUGAUGUAUGAAUGGGUAUGUGGAUGAAUAGACACAUGGGUGGGUGGAUGGAUGGAUGGAUGAUGGAUACAUGGAUGGAUGGAUGAGUAGGUAGUUAAAUGAUGGAUGGAUGAAUUCCUGGAUGGAUUUGUUGCAGGAGGAUGCAGGAAGUCAUCCCCAUGUGAACCACUGUGAGCUAUAAAGAUGAAUUAAGUAUAGGUACUUUGCCUGGGACACUCCCAGGUUUUUUGUUGGUUUGUUUUCGUUUGGUUGGGUUUUUGUUUUGUUUUGUUUUUCUUUUGUUUUUGAGAUAGGGUCUCUCUACAUAGCCUUGGCUGUCCUAGAACUUGCUAUGUAUAGCAGAAUGGCCUUGAAUUCACAGAGACCUGGCAACCUCUGCCUCUUGAGUACGGGGAUUAAAGGUAUAUGCCACCAUGACUGGCAGAUAGUUUUAAGCACUGAAAGUUCUCAGGAACUCGUCAAUCCUGGAUAACCACCCCAGACCUAAAAUAAAAGUGAAGAAACCAGAAUUCUCCUCAAGUAACUGAUUUCUCUGGGACCCUCGCAAGAAGUGCUUGGGGAUGGUCUCCCAGGGUUGGGCUGUGGAGGUGAGGGCAUAUGAAAGGUAAUGCAGCUCAUAUUUAGUUGACAGGCGCUGUGUGUAGCAUGAAUCUUAAAGAGUCUUAUUAAUAAAACAAACCAGGAGCCAAGUUUGGGGCCAAUGCUGGAAGAUCAGAGAAGCAGAACAAGCCACAGCCACCUCACCUCGCCAGUUCCUCAGCUGAUCCUGUUUCCUCAGACUGGAAGCCUCUGAGUCCUCAUCCAAAUAGAUCUCAGCUGAACUACUGCUCAAAAGCCUAAAAGUUUAACCAGCCCUAGUUCCUGGUCCUCACGCCUUAUAUACCUUUCUGCUUUCUGCCAUCACUUCCUGAGAUUAAAGGCAUGAGUCACCAUGUCUGGCUGUUUCCAGUGUGGCUUUGAACUCACAUAGAUCCACGCGGAUCUCUGCUUCUGGAAUGCUAGGAUUAAAGGUGUGUGCUACCACUGCCUAUCCUCUAUGUUUAAUAUUGUGACUGUUCUGUUCUCUGAUCCCAGAUAAGUUUAUUAGAGUGCACAAUAUUUUGGGGAACACAAUACCACCACAGCUGUGUGCUGGGAUCCUUGCCUGCGCAGCUCCUCUGAGUCCUCACAAGACACCACGAAACAAGUUUUCCCUUAUCCCCACACUCUGUAGUCAUUUGUCAAUCAUAGCUGGGUGCUGCGAGUCCAGUCUAGGCCAGGCACGGACCUGGAAUACUGAGGAGCAGAUGGAUGCAUAAAGUAACUGCAUAAAAGCCCACCUCCAUCUCUCCUAACAUCUCUGUCCUCUGUGUUGCUUGGACACUCCAAACCAGUUUCUGCCCCAGGACCUUUGUACAUGCUGUCCCUUCCAGCUGCAUUCUCUCUCUGGUUCUAUCUGGUUCUGUCCUCUGCUAAGCAGUCCAUAUCAGAGCCCUCCCUCCCUCCACAUCCUUCCCCCUCAAAUAUACCCGUUGGUAUUCUUUAAUAUGACACUGGAUACUCCUUUUGAAGAAAGAUGUCAUUGUGUUAUCUGUCUGGCUUCCCUUGGCAUAUAAGCUUCACAGGGACCGUUACAAUGUCUUGUUUACUGCUCUAUCCUGGAGGCAUAGAGUAAGUGUUCUAUUAAGUGAUUAUUUGAAUGAACGGAGGGGUGAAUGAAUGAUUUUGCAGGAAGCAGCAGGCACGUGUGACCUGCAGUGGUCCAGGUUGGAAAGAGGGGGACCUGACCCAACUCCCCCGAACCCUGAGGUUAAUCACCACAUCACUAGCAUCAGUCACACCUGGUUGUUGCUGCCCCCGCCCCUACCCCAGCUUCUGUGUGGUAGCCUGUGACGGUCAUGUGAGUGAUGUGGUCACUGACAUUUCCUAAAAUUCAGCAGCUCCAGCUCCAGGUCCCCUGAGUAUGCCCUGGCCCUAGAUGAGCAGCUGGUACCACUAAGCUCAGGCAGACAGAUGAAAGAACAGAAGGAGAGAGUGGUGGGCGGGGCCAAUGGCUGGGGUAGUAUAUGCCAACUUGACACAAGCCGGAGUCAUUUCGGAAGAAGGAACCUCCACGGAGAAAAUGUCCCUAUCAGACUGACCCGUGGGUACGCCUGUGGCGCAUUUUCUUGAGUCACAAUUGAUGUGGGAGAGCCCGGUUCCCUGUGAGCAGUGCCGCCCCUGGGCAGGUGGUUUCAGGUGGUGUAAGAAGCAGGCUGAGGAAACCAUGGGGGAGCAAACAAACAGAGUUCCUCCAUGGCUUCUGCUUCAGUUCCUGCCUUGAGUUCCUGCCCUGACUUCCCUCAGGGAUGGGUGUGACCGGGAUGUGUAAGCCAAACAAAUCCUUUCCUCCCCAAGUGGCUUUUGGUCAUGGUGUGUUAUCACAGCCGUAGAAAUCGGAUUGUCACCCCUGCCUGUCAAGCAGAGAGCUAGGCCACCAUGUCACUCAACCUCUUCAUGGGGCAGAAGCAGAGGGGAAGUCCCUGCAGCCGCUGCUGGGAACCCCAGUCCAGUGAGAGGAGGGACACUAAGGACAGCCAGAGGUCAGUAGUAAGGCAUUGCAGGGGAGGACUGGGUGAUCCCCACAGGGACUGAGGCAGAUGGGGGCAGGAACAGAAGGAGGACGUGUGGUAGGUUCUUCAAGAUGCCCUGCCCUGGUUCCAAUAGUGCCCAAGACUGUGGUAGCCUAUAAGACAGGCGCAUGUAAAGUCACAGUCUUUUGACUCCAUCAGAGCUUACCCUCCCAGGCUGAGUCUGAGUCCCCAAGCUCAUAAAAGCUAGAUUUUCAGCAGCUGUAGCUGGAGGGGCUGUGGGGAAGAUCCAGGAGGCAGGAGAGCUUGACUGACAGCAGCCUUGAGGAGGCGCGGCCUCCUAGAGAGAAGGCUCAGGGCCUCUAGAGAUUGAAAGCUGUUGGAAACCUGCAGGGAAAGUGGGAACCUCAGCCCUCCCAUAGCAAUGAACAGAGUUCUGUGCCUGCAGCCAGGACUAGCCUGGAAGCCCACCCACCCACUCCAUACCAACCCCCAGCAUGCCAGGCUGGACUCCUGAUGGGGCAGUGGUUAGAAGCCACACACUUUGUGGUAAAUAUAAAACCAAUGUGGCAGGGUUUGGACACUCAGAGAAGGAAACAGAAACUCAAACCCCAAGAUGGUGUAAGCAAUGGCCCCUGGCAUGAGACACGACUUAGGAAAGAGGCCGGCCUCCAGACAUGGCCUGCAUGCCAGGCUGCGGAGUGGGAACUUCGUUUUCUGGCACAGGAGAGCUACUGAAGAUUUCUGGAGAGAGAGAUGGACAUCAGAAGUGGACCCUGGAUGAAGUUCCCCCUGCUUACCUGACAAGCCAGGUUCUGGGAUCAUGCCUCAGAAGUGGGGGAGGGGAGGUCCUAUAUUCAUACUAGUGGGCAGGGGUCUGGAGACAAAACCUGAUUAGGAAGGAACCUGGACCAUGACAUCAAUGACUAAUAGUUCCAAGUCACCUUCUAGCUCCUGGCAGCUUGGACAGCUGCCCUAUCCUAUGCAUGAGUGUGUGUGUGUGUGUGUGUGUGUGUGUGUGUGUGUGUGUGUGUGUGUGUGUGUGUGUGUGUGUUUGUGUGUGUGUACGUGUCUGCCUGCAUGUGUGUGUCCUGCUCCAACCCCUAUAAGGCGAAGGGCAGAGCCUCUAGGGAAAGAUAGGGAGUGAAAGUUGAGGAGCCUUCACUGGGAUACACAGGCAGAGGUACUGGUUCUUGAGGUACUAUGAGCCUCCCACAGAGCAAGCCCAGGAGUUUGACAGGCCAAGAGCAGGAGAGGGAGCCAGCCCCUGGCUAGGAUGGCAAUCUUCAGGAGCCGGCACCCCUGCACUGUGUGGACAUGGCCACCAGGGGGUGCCCUGUACACAGAUCUGCUGCCCCUUUAAAACAGAUGCCCUGUGUUUCCAACGGAAGUCCCUUCUCAGGCCCAGAGGACCGAGAGCAGAGGGCAGGCCAUUGUCUACUGUAUCCUAAUCCUGAACCCUGGUCCAGCCUGAUCUGGCAUGAACUGAGAGGUCUCUCUUUCUUCUACUGUAAUGCAGACCAGGGCACUGGGAUGUGCUGAGUGUGAGGACACAGGGCCCACCAGGCAUGACCUAUCUUGAUACAGGAGUAUGUCUGCCAUGGCUCCUUGCUCCUAAAGUUAGUGAUGCUCAGCUCAGACCCCCAAUCCUUGAUUUCCUCCUCCUUGGCAAAGGUGACUAGGUCCCACCCUUCCAUUCCCUCCCCUUGCUAGUGACGGCUGCCAUGGAGACACUGUGUGUGUAUGGGUUGCAAAGGAACAAAAGCCCCUCCCAGCCCAGCUCAGCCCUGGAGAACAUGCUUUUAAUCGCCUACUGGGCUCCGGUGUUGUUUGUCUAUCAACUUGACACAAGCUAGUGCCAUCUGGGAAGAGGGAACCUCAGUUGAGAAAAUGUCUUCAUCACACUGGACUGUGGGUAAGCCUGUGGAGCAUUUUCUUGAUUAAUAAUAGAUAUGGGAAGGUCCAGCCCUCUGUGGGCUGUGCCUCCUGGAAGUGGGGCAUGUGGUCCUGGGUUGUGUUUAUAAAAGCUAGUUGAGCAAACCAGUAAGCCCCGCUCCUCAUGGCCCAAGUUUUCAGUUCCUGCCUGCAAGUUCCUGCCCUGCUUGAGCUCCUGCCCCGACUUCCCCGAAGAGAUUGCCUGCGACCCGGAAGCCAAACAAUGUCUUCCCCCUUCCAGGUUGCUUUUUGUCAUGGUCUUUAUCACAGUAAUAGAAAGUAGAUUAAGAUGGCUCCUUAGAGGAAAGAAAUGGGUACACAGCCAGGUGGUGGUGGUGCACACCUUUGAUCCCUGCAUUCGGGAGGCAGAGCCAGGUGGAUCUCUGUGAGUUUGAGGCCAGCCUGUUCUACAGAGCGAGAUCCAGGACAGGAACCAAAGCUACACGGAGAAACCCUGUCUCAAAAAAGAAAAAAAAAAAAAAAAAGACCUGAGCAUUCUGGAGACACCCCUCCCCCACAGGUAUCCACCACCUGGAACUGGAGACACUCCUUCCCAUCCAGUGUCCACCACCUAGAAAUGCUAUCAUCCAAUGACUGGUUGAGCAGUCAAGACCUGAGUGCCCAGCGCCUGGGCACCCACACAGCACUCAGCUACCUAUUCGAGAUGGAUUUCUCAUAGCACCCAGAACAUUUUUGCUGGAUGGUUCUGUUUUGUGUCCUGUGUCAUUCAGCAGGGUCCUGACUUCCUCUUACCAUACAUACUUGUAGCCCCUUCUGUGAGGCAUGACACCCAAGUGUCUGUGUACUUGCCAAAUAUCUUCCUCGGAGAUGGAACUGCACUGUUGAGAGUCACUGGUCUAAGCUAUAAAGUGUUUUCAGGCUGGGGGACCCGGAUCAACUGUGUAUGCCCAAUACAUACCCUGGUGACCAGGCUCGUGCCAGGGCUUAGACAUCGCCAACUUUCCAGUUGCAUGUAGACAUCCAAGAAAGCAAGUGACACCCCCUUGCACCUCUGGCAUCCCACUGAUGCCAACUCUGUUUGGGCCACACCUAGCUUCAAGGGAGGCUGCGAGUUGGAGUCUAGGUUCACCUGCUGGCUAGGACCAGCUGCACUAGGUGACCCAGGGGGGAACAAUACAUUCUGGAGGUUAUCUGGUAUAGUUUUUUGUUUUUGUUUUUGUUUUUAUUCUUUGGGGACCUGCCACCCAGCUCCCAGCUCCCAAAUAAAUACACAGAGACAUAUUCUUUCUUAUGAAUGCACAUCCUCACCUUGGCUUAUUUCUAGCCAGUUUUUCCCUAAUUAUCUCAUUUCUCAUCUUCGAUGUUUUGCUUCUGGGCUUUUACCUUUCUUAUUCUGUAUACCUUUCUUUUCUUCUUACUCCAUGGCUGGCUGUGUGACUGGCUGGCUGGCCCCUGCUGUCCUCCUCUUCUUCUUUUCUCACUCCUCCCUCUUCUUUCUUCCUCUCCUAUUUACUCUCUCUGCCUGCCAGCCCUGCCCAUCUCUCUCUCCUGCCCUGCUAUUGGCCAUUCAGCUCUUUAGUAGACCAAUCAGAUGUUUUAGACUGGCAAAGUAACACAGCUUUACAGAGUUAAGCAAAUGCAACAUAAAAGAAUACAACCCAUCUUUGCAUUAUUAAACAGAUAUUCCACGGCAUGAAAGAAUGUAACACAUCUUUAACUACUGUUCCACAGCAGUUUGGCAGCUUGCCUUCUUUCUUAGAUGCUGUCCCCACUGUGGCCCUGUGUCCUUCCACCCCUGACACCCUUCUCUGCCCUUUAUCAUGUUCCCAUGGGCUCCUCUUAGCUCCCAGCCCAGAGCAGAUAGAUAGUCCCAGCUCCUGUAUGUAGUCCAGGACACUCUGAAGCCCUGUCAGCUCCUGUCCUGAUGGCUACACACAUCCUCAAGGACUCAGUUGCCAUCCUGAACAUGGAGAGCUAAUCACUUCAGAGUUCAAAAUGGCCACAAGAGAGUUCCUCCAUCACAUCUGCCUUCCAGGAUGUUGGAUGAAGUAAGGGCCAAAGAAGGUGUGCAGUUACUCUUGGUUGUCAACCUGACUGGAUAUGAAAGGAACUAAGAGAUGUGCCUGAGGAAGGUCUGGGAGGGUACUUCCAGGGAGCAUUAACUGAAAGUAGAAUACCCUCGAGCGUGAGCAGCCCCUGUGGCAGUGGCCCAACUAUGAAGAAGUUUGAGAGAAAUGUAGUGCUGCCUGCCUGCCUCUGCUUCCUACUGAUGGGUGCAUCUACCCUGCUGCUGCUGCUGCUGCUGCUGCUGCUGCUGCUGCUGUUGAUGAUGAUGAUGAUGAUGCCACCUUCCUUCAUUGCCAUCAGAACCCAGCUUCUUUGGCCUCCCAACGUUAACUGAAGACCAGAAGCUCUCAAGAAAGUUCUCCAGUCUGUGGCGUCAGCCACAAGGCUGUGGCUGAGGCAUCCAGCUUCAUGGGUUCCCCAACCUCUCAGGUUGCAGAUGGCCAUAGAUGGCCUACCCUGGCCCUGCCAUGUAAGCCUCUAAUACAUCCCUUUAGUGAGGUGUCCAUGCUGUUUCCCUAGAGAGCCCCCAGUAAGCAGAAGGACAGCCUCUCUUCACUCCGAAAUGUCCCCGACACUUUCACUUCUCGGUGGCUAGAAGUUGACCAAGUGGCCACACCGAGCUGUAAGCCUGUUUGGAAUAUGCCCCCUUCUAGCUGAGCAUGGUAAACCCAGUGGGAACUGGAGCUGUUACAGAGAAGGAUGGGAGGCAGAUACGGGGGCAUACAUGGAAAAUAUCCACUUCUCUGUACCCUACAACUCUCCUUGAAGUCAAGGUCCUGGGUGUCAGGCAGCCUGUGGAUGGCUAUUCUUAGACUUCCCUGCUGGGGACCUCUGAGUCCCCUGCCGAAGCACUGAGGGAGCAGAGUGACACCAUCCUCCUCUGUCAUCUCUGACUACUGGGGUCAGUGCUAUCAACAUGGACCUUGUGGGGGUGGGGUGCAGCUCAUGGCCCAAUGCUAGCACUUUCUCCUUGACUCUGUUGACAUUCAUGUGUGUUUCAUGCCUCUUCGGUCAAGUGUGUGUGUGUGUGUGUGUGUGUGUGUGUGUGUGUGCAUGUGUGUUUGUGUGUGUGCAUGUGUGUAUAUAUGUGUGUGUGACUGUGUGGUGUGUGUGUGUGCAUGUGUGUAUAUAUGUGUGUGUGACUGUGGGAUGUGUGUGUGUGUGUGUGUGUGUGUGUGUGUGUGUUCUGCCUGCAUGUAUAUCUGUGUACAAUGUGUAUGCAGUGUCCAUGGAGGCCAGAAGAGGGCAUCGAUCUCCAGAGACUGGUGUUAGAGACACUUGGGAGCAGCCUUAUGGGAGCUGGAAAUUGAACGCAGGUCGCCUGGAAGAGCAGCCAGUGUUCUUAACCACAAAGCUCUCUCUCCAGCCAUUAAAGUGAGUGAUACAUCUUCUGUUGACCAGCUCCCUCUGACCCAAGCAGCUAUCUUAAGGGCCUUUCCUGUUGGAUGUUUUCUAAUCAGAACAAAUGGAUGCAGACCUUUGAAGCUCACACUGUCUACCAUGCCCCUGACUGGAGGAGGCUGGGGAAGACUCUCUCAGAAGGGCUGCCCUCCUCUUCAGUGGGGAGUAUGGACAAGCUUCCGGCUUUUCGGGGGAGAGUUCUUACUCAUGUAGGCUAGGGGCCUGGUCCCCAGCCUGUAAGGACCACAUGGGAGGGAGGGAAAAGAGCCCUGCGUUUCUUAUAGGCCAUGCUGGCUGUGGCCACAGAGAACCAGAGCCUUUGCCCUUUGGAGAUGCCAUAGAAACUGACAAAAGCCGGGGCAGUGCCAGCCCCAAGGAGGUGCACAUGGCUAGGGACAGGGUAGUCUCUCUCCUUCACCUGAACUUCUGCCUGAGCCCCGGAGAGCGAGUCAGGCCUGCUGACUGGACAAGUCUUCCUGGGAGGGACAGGAUAAAGGGGAGCUUGGCCAGUACAGAGGACGUAGGUCUCAGCUUCACUCCAGUGUUGGUGAAUGACCUCCACUGAGCAGCUUUGGUCUUGUGACUUGCAAAUGGGCAGCAAAGGCUGCCCUGCCCCCCACAGGGCCCCUGCAUACUUCCCUGGGGGCACCCAGCAGCGCAAAAACCUCUUACUUGGACCCGUUUCCUGUCCCUUCAAACCAUGAAGACAUCCCCAGGGUCUUUUAUUCUUUGUUUCUUGGCACAUUGUCCAGAGCACCCUCCACAGAGCUGGAGGCACCAUCCCCCCCUGAGAACCCUACCAAAGCAGCCUUCGACGGUCUGCCCUUAUCUCCACACCCCACUGCCCUCUUCCCAUCUCAGCCCUUCUGAAGCCCUAGGAAGCCUUGGGGAUGGUGGCCAUCUAUACAAUACCUUGUUUGACUCUCCCGUUGAGUCAGAGAGAUACCUGCCUCCAGUGUAUGUGAGAGACACAGCAUGGCUAGGGUGCUGUGUGCUGCCCACUGCUGGCCUCUAGUGGUGGUGAUUGUAGUAGUGAGGAUGAUACUGAUGGUGGUGAUAGAGAUGGUGGAGGUGAGGGGGGUUGUGAAGGUAGGGGAUGGUGAUUAUAAUGGUUAGUAUCAAUAAAGCAACUUAACUGAGAGGUGACUAGGUGUCAUGAUGUCAAUUUGACACAACCUAGAAUCACUUGGGAGAGAGUCUCAAUGUGGGAUCAUUUAGAUCAGAUUAAUCUGUAAAUAUGUCUGCGCAAGACUGUCCUAAUUGUUAACUGAUGUGGGACAUCCAGCCCACUGUGGGCAGCACCAUCCCCUAGGCAAGGGAUCUGGCCCAUGUAAGUGUAGAAAGGAACCUGAGCACAAGGGGUCAUGCGCACAUUCAUUCUAUCUGCUCUUAUGUGUGAGUGCGGUGUGACCAGCUGCUUCCAGUUCCUUCUCCCUGACUUCCCUGUAAGGAUGGACUGUGACCUGGAAUUGUAAUGCAUUCCUCCUGUAAGUUGCUUUUUGUCAGGAUAAUUUAUCACAGCAGCAGAGAUGAAACUGGAAUAGUAGGGAGUGAGCAAAGCACAUUUCUGGGUGUUUCCAGAGAUGAUUAAUAUGUGGAGCAGCAAUUGAGGGGGAAAUACCUACCCUGAAUGUAGGCAGCACUAUCCUAUAGGCUAGGGGCCUGGAUGGAAUAAAGUGGGAAAUGAGGAAGCCAACCAGUGCAUCCUUCUCGGGCGAGUGUGUUUCUUGUGGCUGCCAUUGCCCAUGAUAGCAGACUCCGACUUCUUCACUCUUUCAGUACAGACUCUACCAUCGACCAGGGAACUUCCAGAUCUUCAGUCUCAGUCUGGGACUGUAUCCUUGACCCACCUUGUUCUGAAGUUCCCAGCUUCUCCGGCUGAGCAGCUACUGGGUUUUCUGGUUCUCCUGAAUGCAGAUGGCCAUGGAUGAACCAUCAUCCAGGCUCUUUCUUGAAAGUCAAUCCAGUAACUCUCCUUUAUAGCCAAUACACGUUCUACUGGUUCUGCUCUUUGAGAGAAGCUUGACUAAUCACAGUGAUAGUGAUGACAGUAGUAGUCAUGGUGAUAGAGAUGAUGGAUGAUGGUGACAGUGGUGGUGGUGGUGAUGUGUGAUGAUGUGUGAUGGUAAUGGUGGUGAUGUGUGAUGAUAUAUGAUGGUGAUGAUGUGUGAUGAUGGUGAUGAUGCAUGAUGUGAUUAUGUGUGAUGUGAUGAUUUGUGAUGGUGAUGAUGUGAUGAUGAUGUUUGAUGAUGGUGAUGAUGUGUGAUAUGGUGAUAUGUGAUAGUGAUGGUGAUGAUAGUGAUGUCUGAUGAUGUGUUCUGGUGGUGAUGGUGAUGUCUGAUGAUGUGUUCUGGUGAUGAUAGUGAUGGUGAGGAUGUAUGAUGGUGAUGUGUGAUGAUGUAUGAUGAUGGUGAUGAUGCAUGAUGUGAUGAUGUGUAAUGUGAUGAUAAUGAUGUUUGAUGUGAUGAUGUGUGUGUGAUGAUGGUGAUGAUGUAUGAUGUGGUAAUGUGUGGUAAUGAUGGUGAUGAUAGUGAUGUCUGAUGAUAUGUUCUGGUGGUGAUAGUGAUGUCUGAUGAUGUGUUCUGGUGAUGAUAGUGAUGUCUGAUGAUGUGUUCUGGUGGUGAUAGUGAUGGUGAGGAUGUAUGAUGGUGAUGUGUGAUGAUGUAUGAUGUGUGAUGAUGUAUGAUGAUGGUGAUGAUGUGUAAUGUGAUGAUUUGUGAUGAUAAUGAUGUUUGAUGUGAUGAUGUGUGUGUGAUGAUGGUGAUGAUGUAUGAUAAUGAUGGUGAUGAUAGUGAUGUCUGAUGAUGUGUUCUGGUGAUGAUAGUGAUGGUGAGGAUGUAUGAUGGUGAUGUGUGAUGAUAGUUUUAUUAGUCACGUUUCUCGUUGGUGUCAUAAAACACCUGAUAUAAACAACUUAAAAGAGGAAGAAAUAUUUUUGCUCACACAUUCAGAGGGUUUAGCCCUUGCUUGCCUCUAUACACUCCGGCAGAAUGUUUUGGCAAUGGAAGCAUGUGGCAGAGGAGGUAAACAUGAAGGGUCUCUUUUGUCUUAAUAUUACUGUUCAGAGAUGCCAUGACCAAAGUAACUCUUAGAAGAGAAAGCAUUUAAUUAGGAGCUUGCUUACGGUUUCAGAGGUUUAGUCCAUUGGUGGGGAGCAUGGCAGCAUGCAUGCAGGUGCUGGAGCAGUAGCUGAGAGCUACAUCCUGAUCUGUAGUCAGAGAGAGUGCUGCAAGCCGCAGGAAUAUAUCAUAAGAACUCAGCUGGUUAUGGCAAAGUCACUACCUGGAGGAAUCAGGGAAUUCCUCCAGAGGAAGCUAAAUUCCAAGGAGCCUUUGGUGUUACUUGGCUUGUUAUAUAUCAGCUGUCUUCUGUUAUGAAAAUCAUGUGUGCCUUCAUAGUUUUCCCAAUUGACUUUUCCACAAGAAGGGCUAACAGUGUGGACUGAUCACUCUCUGGACAUACACAUUCCAGGUAUUUAGAGAACAGCCUCAGGAACGGCUUUCUCUGGAAUCAGAUAUCUGCCUUGGCCACUUUCAAGGACUAGCAGUAAUAACAGUCCACAUGAAAGUCUCCUGAUUUAAGGUAAAUUCCACAAGGAGACACCACCUAGGUCAGGUGGACAUUAAGUAAUAGUUUUAUGAAAUUCAGCUCGGACCCUCCUUUCUUAUAGCCUUACUAACUUUAUAGACCUCUAAUUCCUUACCUAACCACUUCUAGGAAUACUUGGAUAAUUUUCUGUGCUGACAGCUAUGCUCAGCCAGAACCCCAGUCCAAGCCUCCCAGUAAUUAUCAUCACUGGCAGCAUCUGGCCAGGUCCAUCCCCAGUUGGAGGAAAGUACCUUAGCAGAGAUACCUCUGUACUCUCUAGAACAGACUUAAGUAUCCAGGCUAUCUGUUCCUUUCCCAAACCUUACCUUUAGUUCCAGAUCUCCCUUUAACUAUCACCAGAGGCAUCUAACUUACACAGGUUGCCUAGCGACUGAGCACACUUUCCCCCACCCUGCAGAAAAAUGGCAGAUAGCUUGGACAGAUAGGAGCCACAGGAAAAAAGAAGACAGUUUUAUUUUCUCCCAUUGACCUAACAACAUAUAGAUUCUUAACAUUUUCUACUAAUCACGUUUAAGACUAUAGUUGAGCAUAUAAGAUUCCCUCUUCUUAGAUAUUUUCCUUAGAUAAAUUACUCGAAUUUAGCCUUUAGUUAAUUCAUUUCCCCAUUGGUCACUUCCCUUUGAGGUUGCAAAUGAUAAUUAAUGGUUAUUGCUUCUCAAUGUGAUUCUUAUCACCCCUCUGUUUGACCCUGGAAGCCUGGCUUUAUAUACCAGGACUUCCAGGGCACGAGGAUGGAGAAGAGAAAAGAGAAUGGAAGAACUAGAUGGGUAAGAACUUGAGAGGAACAAACUGAGAUGGGGAAGAACUAGAUUGAAAGACUAGAAGAGAGUACUAGAGGAAUGAGAUGGAAGAUGAGGAAGAGCCAGAUGGGAAAGUACUAGCUGGGUAAGAACAAGAUGAAAAGGACCUAGUUGAGGCAGAAUUAAGACGAGAGAAUUAAGAUAGAACUUAGAGGGAGUAAUAGAGAAAUCAGGCAAGAAAGGAGCUAGGCACAAGAACAGAACUGAAGCUGUGUAUAUAGGAUGUUAUGCCAGAAGAAUUAAAUCAAGUGGACUAUAGAGCUCAGUGUGCUGAGAUUCUAUUUCCUGAAAAUAAUCCUCGCCGCUAGUAGUUCUCUCUUCUGGGCCUCUAGGAUGUAUAAUAUUAAGGCUGGUCCUGCUAAUAUUAUACAAGAAGAGAGAGCAAGCCUAAGCCUGGCAUGGGCUUUUGAAGCCUCAAAGCCCACCUGCAGUGGCACACUUCCUCAAACAAGGCCACACCUUGUAGUCAGAAGGUUUCUCAGGUCCUGCCCAGAGAAAACUUUCAACUACAUUUUGCUACCCAAUGUGUUGGCUCGAGUUUCCACCUAAAACUUGAGAGAACGUAAUAAAAAGAUUCUAAACUGGAGCUAAAAACAGCUUCCUGAAUGUGUCUCUCAGACAAGCCAUGAGCUACACUAUGGCAGGUUCGUGGUAUGUGGGCUUGAGCCACAGCAUGGCGUCGAGGUACACAGAGAUACAGAGGUGUCUCCAAGCCAUGCAGUGCACUGCAUGGUGGAUGUAGCUUUUGCUAGUACAGACCAAAGGAGAAAAAAAAGGUUUCUGGGCUUCAGCUCCUUGAUGGAGGCACAGACCCACUGCUUCCCAGACUUGGUGGUGAGCAUGGUUCCCAGAGCUGGCGGUAAAUGUACCACUGCCAUAUUGGGAAACUGAGGUGAGGUCAGCAGCCAAGGCUGCCACUUUUUGUCCUAGCCAUGCAGUUUAACAGUUUAAAAUCUCUCCUGGUCAGAGAAGGAUUAUAGAUUCACAAUAAGACAGGUUCAGAUGGAAUAAAACUCUCAACUGUUUACAGUGUGUGUAAAAACCUAUGUAGGCUUGGAAGAGAGAGAAAAGGGAAUGUAGACAGUUAUAUAAAAAAUAGUUUUAAAAAAUAAAGUCUUGCCAGGCAGUGGUGGCGCAUGCCUUUAAUCCCAGCACUCGGGAGGCAGAGCCAGGCAGAUCUCUGUGAGUUCAAGGCCAGCCUGGGCUACAGAGUGAGUUCCAGGAAAGGCACAAAGCUACACAGAGAAACCCUGUCUCGAAAAACCAAAAUAAAUAAAUAAGUAAAUAAAUAAAUAAAGUCUUUAAAGAGACAGUAAAAGUAAUAUAAGAAAUAAGCCGCGUAAAGAUGAAUAUUACAUAGAGAAUCUGGAUUGUGUUGUCAUUGGGCUUUUUAACUGCAGAAAGAUAUUUGAUUGUAAAAGCUGCUGAGUUAAACCAAUAUAUAUAUUUUUUAAAGGUAUCUUGACUUCAAAAUUUGUGUCUAAGGAUACAUUGCUUUGGAAAAGAGGUUCUGCUUUUGUUUCCACAGGAGAUGAGAACCUAUGGAUUGCUUCCAGGCUAAUAUGGUUUGAUCAGCCAAGAUCCUCUGAAAGGUCGCUGAUGACACCAUGGCCUAAAUGAUCCAACAUCCAAAAUCAACUUCAAGGCAACUGGCUCAGAGAACACAGCAUCACAGACUACUCCAGUCAGGACUUGACCAUAAUCCUAAAAUUGUCUUUGUGUCCUCAUAAGACUACCAGUGCCCACAAUCAGUAGGAAGUAGCCUAGAAAACUACACCCACAUUCUCAAAAACUGAAUUAUGGAUAUUUGUCUUUGUUAGAAAUUGGUUACAAAUUGUUAUUGGUCAUAGUCAAUAUCUUUCUAAAAGAAAAAAGGGGGAUAUGAUAUAGAUAUGAUAGGGUGAAAGGGUAGAUUAUUGAAUCCACUUUUAAAGAGCAACAACUUAUUUAAAAUUGCUAUAGAUUUUAGUUUAUUUCAAAUUUAAAGUUAAUUGUUUUACUCUAUGUAUAUUUCUACUCUUGUUUAAGGUAUUAUGUUUGUGCAGCUCAUUUGAAAUUGUAAUGUAUAAUUAAGAAAUUCAGAUUAUUAGUCAUCUAUGAUAAUUAAACUUAUAAUCAUGUUAGUUAAGUUUUUUAGGUGUACAUAGAUAUAUUUCAAUUAGAUAGGUAAUCUUCAAACACUUCAAAGACUUAUAGAAUAUGGCAUUUAAAAUGUUUUAAAAACUUAGACUUUUCUGGACAAUGAGACACAUCUGCUCCUGGCAGUACCAAUUGCAUCUUCAAGGAAGAUGAUGGGCAUCAAAGACACUCCAUAUGGAGUUUAUCUUCUUCUUGGCAAAAAUGGUCAUUUGAGCAAGAAAUUGUCCUUGCCUGGACUGAUUGACAAAAUGUUGUAUCUACUGGACAUGUAGGACCCAUAGGAAGGUGACUACUAAACUUUGCAAGAUGAGAUGGUCCUUAAGGUUCCUGCUUUGCAGAGGAGACUGCCAGAUAUUCUAUAGGACACAGGGAGAAGUGACUAAAAAAACUCUAGGCCUGUAGGCUGGAUAUGGAUGCCCCAACGUUGCAGAAGAACUUUGGGUGAUUGUCCAGGCAGCCAGCUGUCUCUGUCAUUCUUGAAUUUUGGAAGUUGCUUACAGUGUACUUCCUGUUUACUUAGGUAUUAUUAUAUCCUUCUGGGGUCUCUGAUGUAGUUGAAGACUAAAUAGUUAUAGUUAUAAUUUUCCUUGGUUAUGAUAAAAGUAAAUUAGAUAUGAAACUUUAGACUCACAAAUAGGAUAGAUGAUAGAAUAUUUUCUUUAAUUUUACCAAAUACAAAUAGAACAUCUGUCAUAGAUAUAAUUCUUGCUUGAUAACUGUUCUAUUAUAUGUAAUUUUACUAUGUUAAAAUUAAAAAUCUUCCUUUUUGACUAGACAGAAAAGGAGAAAUGCUGUGAGAUAAUGCUCUUGUACACUGGUUUAAUAAAAUGCUAAUUGGCCAGUAGCCAGGCAGGAAGUAUAGGCAGGGCAAGCAGACAAGGAGAAUGCUGGGAAGAGGAAGGCUGAGUCAGGAGUCACUAGCCAGACACAGAGGAAGCAAGAUGACAAGGCAGAACCGAGAAAAGUUAACAAGCCACCUGGCUAAAUAUAGAUAAGAAUUAUGGGUUAAUUUAAGUGUAAGAGCUAGUAAUAAGUAAUCAGUAAUAAGCCUGAGCUAAUGGCCAAGCAGUGGUAAAUAAUAUAAGCCUCUGUGUGUGGACUUGGGUCUGAGUGGCUACGGGGCCAGGCAGGACCGGAGAAACCUACCAACUACAACACCUCCUCAUCCUUCUAAUCCUUUCAAAGAGUUCCACUCACUGGUGAUUAAGCAUUCAAAUGUAUGAGCCUGUGGGGGCCAUUAUUAUUCAAAUCAUCACAGGCUUGUAGUUGAAGAAGGGCUAUAGUCCAUCCUGACAAGGAAGGCAUGAUAGCAAGAACAUGAGGAAGCUGGUCACAUUCAGUCUAGGUCUGUGGCCCAUGGAAUGGUGUCACACACAUGCAAGGUGGGUCUUCUACUCAGUAAAACCUUUCUGUAAAUGCCUUUGUAAGGAUUCCCACAGGUUUGUUUCCUAUGUGAGUUUAAAUACUGUCAAGUGUUAAGGUGAUGGUGGCGAUGGUGGUGACAGAUGGGUGAUGAUGGUGAUGGUAAUGAUGGCAGUGGUGGUGAUGAUGUGGUGAUGGUGAUGAUGUCGGCGAUGGGGAAGACAUUGUUGGCAGUGGUGGUGCUUUUGAGAAUGAGAUGGGUGGCAGUGUCUUCUGUGGAGUCCAGUUUGCAAGCUGGAUCUGUCCUCCCCACAUCUGGGAAAGACCCACAGCUUGGACCCAUUUUCCAUGGAAGUUAUAGAGAGGGUUGGAUGGAUGAUUCAGGCAGCUCUAGCUCCUGGCCAGCUUCUACCCUGCGGCCCUCCACAUGUCCUUGACCUUCAUGAAUCUGUUCUGGAUUUCUUCUCUAUGGCCUGACAACUCCCAAUAGCUCCACCAGAGGGCACUCUGCAGCAGGGAACAGGCACACUAGGUCCUGGCCAUGGAGCAGGCAGGCCAUGGAGCUGGAGCCCACAUUCCUGAGGCAGGGUAACGAGUGCAGAUUCUGGAGUCUUGAGGGCCUGGCUGUCACAAAAGGCUGUGUGGCCAUCAAAGCCUUUGCCUCUCUGUCAUGGUGCCUACCUGAGGGCUCUAGGGAUGACUCAUGGGGACCACGUUAGUGCUGGCCUGCAAAGACCCAAGCAGGGAUGUGAUUUCAGGAACAGGGCUGGAUCCCCACGAAUACUGGUAGGGCGAGUAUUUGAAGCUACAGUUCUUGGGGGCUGAGGGGUCUACAAGCUACGGCACUACCCCUGAGGUUCAGGGUGCUGGAAUGGGAACAGCAGCAGCCAACCCAGCCCCCAGGUGGCUACCUAGGGACUGUGUAGAAUGGUCAUCCAUGCAUUUGUCUCUGGACAUUCCCCUCACCUAGGCCCUUUGGGCAUCUGUGAGCUCUGGUACUCAGGAGUCUGAUCUGGCCCCUACUGUUACCUCUCCAGGACUCAGGUUUGGAAGUGGGCUUGCUGGCCACAUAGUAGUGUUCCAUGUUGCCCUUUCUGAGGGGCUUCCUGGCAUGGCCAUUUCACGGUCUUGCAGCCACCGUGUGAGCGUGGUUCUCCACCCUCCCCCCUGCUAGCUUCUUUUCUUUCUCAUUGUGUUUUAUUAUCGUUGUAUCAUUUGCUAUUGUUAUUGUAACAUCCUAGUAUGUGGGAAGUGGUAUCUCACUGUGCUUCAAUUCUUUGUAAGGCCAGGCAAGUGGGGUGCAUUCUUUCCUUGAGAGUUCAUCGCCAGGGUUUGAGGCGAGACCUUCCAGCCAUCCUCACAUCUAAGAGGCCAGGACCAAAAUGGCAAAGAUGGACGGACCCCACUGGGUAGGGCGGGCCUGCCAGGGAGAGCCCAGAACAUCCUGGAAGCUGCCGGAACCAACUUAUUCAGCAAUCUAUCAGCCCUCUGUGAGGACCUACUAAGUGCACUUAUUCAGCAAUCUAUCUGUCUUCUGUGGGAACCUACUAAGUACACGUAUGUUUUUUGUUGUUGUUGUUUUGGGUUUUUUUGUCUGUCUGUCUGUUUUGUUUUGUUUUUGUUUUUCGAGACAGGGUUUCUCUGUGUAGUUUUGGUGCCUGUCCUGGAACUCACUCUGUAGACCAGGCUGGCCUCAAACUCACAGAGAUCCUCCUGGCUCUGCCUCCCGAGUGCUGAGAUUAAAGAAGUGUGCCACCACCGCCCAGCAGCGCACGGGUUUUGUGCUAAGACCUUCCUGGGCAGCUUCUGUCCUUCCAGGUGUUUCUGAAGGAUGAAGAGGGCAACAAAAGAGCAAGCACUGUGAAAUGUGCUGUGUGGGCUCAGGAGGUGCCCGUGCCAGGCAGGUGGGCAGGGACAGAGGAGGGGAGGGCCCGGUAGAAGCGACAGGCAGCCCUUGGACAAGAAUGCCUGGGCAGAAGGGACUUAAGCAGGGAGGAGAAGAAUGUGGACCAGAGUGAGGCCGCUGGAGUAGACCUGGAUGGCGCAAUUUCAACAGCCCUAGAUAAAGUGCAGAGGGCAUGGCCGUGCAAGGGCCCUGUGGUAGGGAAGGCUUGCAGGGUCUGAGAAAAGAGAAGAAAGACAAAGCCAAGAUUUCUGACCUCCUCUACUCCCCUCCAUCUCCCAGGCACUGUGCCAGGGUUCAAGGCUGGAGGAAUCAGUUUGAUUUGAUUCACCCUUGAGGCUCCUCCUCCUGGAAUCUAAAUCACUGUGCCCGGGCAGUGGGUUCACUCGGGGACACAGUGGCUCCUCUUCUGUGCUCUGUCUUCCUGUGUUGCUGGGGGAUGGAUGGUCCUGGCCCCGGGCCACCCGCCAGCACAUUGUCUGCUUGUCUGGCCGGAAGCAGCUGCUGCCCAGGGCGGGUGGGGCCUGUGUGGACUGUGGACUGGGAGGCUGCAGGGCUGCAGAGGCAGCCUGAGCCCUGAGCCCUCCCCAGUCAGUCAGCCAUGCGUGGGGUCUGGGACGUGGAAGCUGGAUGUGGGGAGAGGGGUGCUGGUCACUGUUCUGUCUUUCCAUCUAUUCGCUUGCCCGAACCCCUGAGCGCCAUCCCAUCGGAGGAUUUGGGUCACUUCUCAGCCUGGACACAGUACAGAAGACCAAGGGAAGCAGCCCAGCCCUAAUCUAAGGAGAACUGACUUCAGUCCUGGCCAGUUCCUCAUCCGAGAGGAACAUGUCCAGCCGCUGGAUCCAUGGGAAUUUGGACACUGUACCCUGGGGUGAGGGUGGUAGCGUACAGAUGUCCUGCCUGAGGACUCACAGGUCUCCUUGUUCCAUGGCUCCUGCCCUGAGUCAUAUUCUUUCUGCCCCCAUCUCUCAUCCUUCCCUUCCUCCCUCCCUCCCUAUUCCAUUCACCAAACUUCAAAGACCACUUCCUGCAUGGACAAUUAUAAAGAAAAAUGGCGGGUCUCAGCUGGAAGAAACUGGCUGUAUUCAUCCAUCCACUCUGACUGUCUGACCUCGUAAGAUAAAGUGCUGCCCCUGCCCCAGUAUGGUGUUUGGUCUGAAGGUACCUGUUCUAGUAGGGGUGCUCUGGGACCCCGAUUUGGCCACCAUGUCUGUUAAGGGGCCAGGACACUCUGGGUCACACACUCGUGAUUAUAGCUUCUAUGGGUGCCCUUCUCUCCUGGCCCUCAGUGGAUCCCACAGGACACCCACACUCUAGAGUCCCCAGGCAUGAAGUCCUGGCCAGCCCUGCCUCUCAGCAUGCUGUUGGGGUCCUGAGCCUUGUCUCAUAAGUACUGGGCUAGGCACCAGCUCCUUACCUCCAUAUAUAGCCAUUAUUUGGGGGUACAGACUCACUCUGGCUAGGUGCCUUGUUUCUAGAAUUUUCUGUUAAUUUCCCUUCAAAUGUUGUCUGUCUCACUUUUCAAAGUAUCGUUUAGAUGAAAAGCCGACUGGAGUUGGCUGUGGUGGCACAUGCCUGGAAUCCCAACACUUAGGAUCCCAAAGCAGGAAGAUCCAGCCUGAGCUACAUAGUCAGGCACUACCUCAGAACUGAAUCUUUUUAAAGGCCUGAGGGUGUGCCUCGGUGGCAGAGUACUUGCUUGAAAUGUACAGGGUCCUGGGUUUUUGGGGGGAAGACAGACUAGAUUCUCUGCUUUGCCUCCACAGAUGCCUGGGACUCUGCAGCAAGGGUGGGUAGGGCACCAGUCCUGGGUACAGAGGCCCAUUCUCCAUAUCAGCUGGGAGACUGGCCUAAGACUUACACCUGUGGAUCUGUGGAGUCCUUUCAGAGAGGACUGACAUUCAGGACAGUGACAAGGAGUGGAGGAAUGCCCUGCCUUGAACAGGGGCGACACCUUCAAGCUCUGAAAGGGCUCAGGCGAGGAAGGUGGUAUAAGCUGAUAAAGUCUUUUUCUGUCCUGAGGAGUUUACGAAUCACUGCUGCCACCUGCUGCCAUCGGACUCCAGCUUCCUCAGCCCCUCACUGUGUACUCCACAUCAGCCCCUUUCCUGGGAGGGCCCAAGCUUUCAGCCUUGGGUUGGGUCUGCUCAGGUGUUCUGCUGCCGGGACUGAGCUCUCUGCCUCUCCAGAAUGUAGAAGGUCACUAUUGGACUACCCAGCCCCUUUACUGUAAGCCAAUCCAAUAAAUCUCUUUC
Long non-coding RNA from Peromyscus californicus insignis, 25780 nucleotides. RefSeq lists it as uncharacterized. NCBI's taxonomy places the organism in Eukaryota, Metazoa, Chordata, Mammalia, Rodentia, Cricetidae. The transcript is spliced from 5 exons. The record is from RefSeq and is a predicted model, not a curated record.